CAAUGGCGGCGGCUACAAUGCAGUCGAGCGAACAGAUAAUGAGCUUGCUCCUUUGACGUUAGCGGCGGACGGGUGAGUAACCGUGGAUAACCUACCUAUAAGACUGGGAUAACUUCGGGAAACCGGAUCUAAUACCGGAUAAAAUUUUGAACCGCAUGGUUCAAUAGUGAAAGACGGCCUUGCUGUCACUUAUAGAUGGAUCCGCGCCGUAUUAUCUAGUUGGUAAGGUAACGGCUUACCAAGGCAGCGAUACGUACCCGACCUGAGAGGGUGAUCGGCCACCCUGGAACUGAGACACGGUCCAGACUCCUACGGGAGGCAGCAGUAGGGAAUCUUCCGCAAUGGGCGAAAGCCUGACGGAGCAACGCCGCGUGAGUGAUGAAGGUCUUCGGAUCGUAAAACUCUGUUAUCAGGGAAGAACAAAGGUGUAAGUAACUGUGCACGUCUUGACGGUACCUGAUCAGAAAGCCACGGCUAACUACUUGCCACCAGCCGCGGUAAUACGUAGGUGGCAAGCGUUAUCCGGAAUUAUUGGGCGUAAAGCGCGCGUAGGCGGUUUUUUAAGUCUGAUGUGAAAGCCCACGGCUCAACCGUGGAGGGUCAUUGGAAACUGGAGAACUUGAGUGCUGAAGAGGAAAGUGGAAUUCCAUGUGUAGCGGUGAAAUGCUCAGAGAUAUGGAGGAACACCAGUGGCGAAGGCGACUUUCUGGUCUGUAACUGACGCUGAUGUGCGAAAGCGUGGGGAUCAAACAGGAUUAUAUACCCUGGUAGUCCACGCCGUAAACGAUGAGUGCUACGUGUUAGGGGGUUUCCGCCCCUUAGUGCUGCAGCUAACGCAUUAAGCACUCCGCCUGGGGAGUACGACCGCAAGGUUGAAACUCAAAGGAAGUUGACGGGGACCCGCACAAGCGCUGGAGCAUGUGUUUAAUUCUAAGCAACGCGAAGAACAUCAUCAAAUCUCGACGUCCUCUGACACUCUUAGAAGAUAGAGUUUUCCCCUUCUGGGGACAAAGUGAACAAGGUGGUGCAUGGUUGUCGUCAACCUCGUGUCUGAGAAAUGGUUGGGUAAAGUCCCGCAAACGAAGCGCCACCCUUAAGCUUAGUUGCAUCAGUAAGAUGGGCAGCUCAUACGUGGACAUGACGGCGACAACCGAGAUGGUAGGGGAUGACGUCAAUCAUUCAUGCCCUUCUGUAUUGGCUACACUGUCUCAAAUGCAAUCAAAGCAGCUAACCGCUAGUUCAAGCCAAAUUCACU
This 1255-nucleotide ribosomal RNA is filed under the name Staphylococcus pasteuri. Its description in RNAcentral is "bacterial SSU rRNA". It matches the Rfam family "Bacterial small subunit ribosomal RNA", at positions 34 to 1278 of the family's 1533-position model. Lineage: Bacteria; Bacillati; Bacillota; Bacilli; Caryophanales; Staphylococcaceae. The record is from RNAcentral.